Molecule: ribosomal RNA, 420 nt
Filed under: Triticum aestivum (bread wheat)
Lineage: Eukaryota; Viridiplantae; Streptophyta; Magnoliopsida; Poales; Poaceae
Description: partial small subunit ribosomal RNA
Source: RNAcentral
AUGGCCACGGCGGCGGCGGCGAAGCGGAAGCCGGUGUUCGUCAAGGUGGAUCAGCUCAAGCCCGUCACCAGCGGCCACACGCUCGUCGCCAAGGUGCUCAGCUCCAAGACCGUCCUCCAGAAGGCCCGCGCCGCUGGCGGCCCCGGCCCAGCCGCCAAGCCCACCAGGAUCGCCGAGUGCCUCAUCGGCGACGAGACCGGCUGCGUCCUCUUCACCGCCCGCAACGACCAGGUUGAUGUUUUGAAGCCUGGCAACACUGUCAUUAUCCGCAAUGCAAAGAUUGAUAUGUUCAAAGGUUCAAUGAGGCUUGCUGUUGACAAAUGGGGCCGUGUUGAAGUAACUGAACCAGCAAGCUUCGGUGUAAAGGAGGACAACAAUCUUUCACUUGUGGAGUAUGAACUUGUCAAUGUUGAAGAGUGA